Molecule: ribosomal RNA, 451 nt
Filed under: uncultured bacterium
Lineage: Bacteria
Description: partial 16S ribosomal RNA
Rfam family: Bacterial small subunit ribosomal RNA
Source: RNAcentral
AGCGAACGCUGGCGGCAGGCCUAACACAUGCAAGUCGAGCGGCCGUAGCAAUACGGCAGCGGCAGACGGGAGAGUAACACGUGGGAACGCGCCCUUCGGUUCGGGAUAACUCAGGGAAACUUGAGCUAAUACCGGAUACGCCCUUACGGGGAAAGAUUUAUUGCCGAAAGACCGGCCCGCGUCCGAGUAGCUUGUUGGUGAGGUAACGGCUCACCAAGGCGACGAUCGGUAGCUGGUCUGAGGGGAUGACCAGCCUCACUGGGACUGAGACACGGCCCAGACUCCUACAGGAGGCAGCAGUGGGGAAUAUUGGACAAUGGGCGCAAGCCUGAUCCAGCCAUGCCGCGUGGGUGAUGAAGGCCCUAGGGUUGUAAAGCCCUUUCAGCGGGGAAGAUUAUGACGUUACCCGCAGAAGAAGCCCCGGCUAACUUCGUGCCAGCAGCCGCAGUAA